This 440-nucleotide ribosomal RNA is filed under the name uncultured bacterium. Its description in RNAcentral is "partial 16S ribosomal RNA". It matches the Rfam family "Bacterial small subunit ribosomal RNA", at positions 338 to 795 of the family's 1533-position model. The record is from RNAcentral.
CCUACGGGAGGCAGCAGUGGGGAAUAUUGCACAAUGGGGGAAACCCUGAUGCAGCGACGCCGCGUGAGUGAAGAAGUAUCUCGGUACGUAAAGCUCUGUCAGCAGGGAAGAAAAUGACGGUACCUGACCAAGAAGCCCCGGCUAACUACGUGCCAGCAGCCGCGGUAAUACGUAGGGGGCAAGCGUUAUCCGGAUUUACUGGGUGUAAAGGGAGCGUAGACGGCAGGGCAAGUCUGGAGUGAAAGGCGGGGGCUCAACCCCCGGACUGCUCUGGAAACUGUGAGGCUGGAGUGCAGGAGGGGUAAGUGGAAUUCCUAGUGUAGCGGUGAAAUGCGUAGAUAUUAGGAGGAACACCAGUGGCGAAGGCGGCUUACUGGACUGUAACUGACGUUGAGGCUCGAAAGCGUGGGGAGCAAACAGGAUUAGAUACCCUUGUAGUC